GACAGAGGGUGCAAGCGUUGUUCGGAAUUACUGGGCGUAAAGGGCGUGUAGGUGGUCAGGUAAGUCUGAUGUGAAAUCAUCAUCGCUUAACGAGAUGUCCGCAUCGGAUACUGUCUGACUUGAGUAUAGGAGAGGAUAACGGAAUUCCUGGUGUAGCGGUGGAAUGUGUAGAUAUCAGGAGGAACACCUGUGGCGAAGGCGGUUAUCUGGCCUAAUACUGACACUGAGGCGCGAAAGCUAGGGGAGCAAACGGG
RNAcentral lists this ribosomal RNA (254 nucleotides) under uncultured bacterium. RNAcentral's name for it is "partial 16S ribosomal RNA". It matches the Rfam family "Bacterial small subunit ribosomal RNA", at positions 524 to 776 of the family's 1533-position model. The record is from RNAcentral.